GUGAAGGACACGGGAGCCUCUAUUGUGCUGCAGUCCAUGUGGUCGCAGAGAGUGGGACAUGACUUAGCAACUGAACAGCAACACUAAGGCCCAGGGAGGAUGCCAUACUUGGUUCCAGGGCAUAUGGCCGCCAGUGAGUGGCAAAUCAGGGAUUGGAACCUGGGUCUGGCUGACCCCAGAUGCUCCACCACCCGCCCCCCCGCUCCUCCCCACUGGGAGCAGAUAUCAGACCAGAAGCUGAGCCUCUCCUCAUCCCUCCUCCUGGCUGAAACUGGGUUCCCAGAGGCUGAACAAACGCCGGCUGUCAGCAGCUCCUCUGGCCUCUGAUAAAUCGAGAGAAUUAAAAUCCAUUUAGAGGGAAAUCUCUAAAUAGGUCUGUGUUGUGUUUUGUGUGUGUUUUUUUUCUGUCUUUUUUUCUGCCCCCCUGCUGUCUCUGGCUGGGUAAUGUAUUCCAGGCGCAGAACUGAAUCUGGCUUAAUUGAAUUUAAAUGCAGGUAUUACAUCUGUACCUUGUAAGCGAAGGCGGGUGGAGGAAUCGCCGAGGAGAUGGAGUAUUUUUACCCAGCUUUGCACCGAGGAGCCCCAAGCCUCCACCAUCUACUUCCGGUCUCUGUGGAUCUGACUCCUCCAGGGAUCUCCUGUGAGUAGAACCAGUGUUUGUCCUUCUGUGUCCGGCUGAUUUCACCAAGCAUCAUGUCCUAAGGCUUCAUCCGUGUUGCAGUGGGUGUCAGAAUCGCCUUCCUUUUUAAAGAUUGAAUAACAUUCCAUUGUAUGGAUGGACCCUAAUUUGUUUAUCUGUCAACUGUGGACAGAUACCUGGUUUGUCUCCUGUGAAUAAUGCUGCUGUGAGCACAGGUGUCCAAGUAGGUCUCUGAGUCCCUGCUUUCAAAUAUUUGUUUGUUUGUUUGUUUGUUUUGACCACGCCACCUGGCAUAUGGGAUGUGGGAUCUUAGUACCCCAACCAGGGAUCAAAGCCACGGCCCCUGCAGUGAAAGCACAGUCUUAACCACUGCACCUCCAGCUUCUUGUUCAGUCACUAAGUCAUGUCUGUCUCUUUGCAACCCCAUGGACUGCAGCACGCCAGGCUUCCCUGUCCUUCACUAUCUCCCAGAGCUUGUACAAACUCGUGUCCAUUGAGUCGGUGAUGCCAUCCAACCAUCUCAUCCUCUGUCACCCUAUUCUCCUCCUGCCCUCAAUCUUUCCCAGCAUCAGAGUCUUUUCCAAUGAGCUGGCUCUUUGCAUCAAGUGACCAGAGUACUGGAGCUUCAGCUUCAGCAUCAGUCCUUCCAGGGAAGUCCCUCAAAUUUUUUGUUUCUACCCACAGGUGGAAUUGCUAAAUCAAAUGGUAAUUCUGUGUUUAAUUUUUGACAGACCACUGUACUGUUUUGUCACUUCCUUUUAAUUUGGUUUUGG
Bos taurus (domestic cattle) is the source of this 1413-nucleotide long non-coding RNA. The record is from Ensembl. Lineage: Eukaryota; Metazoa; Chordata; Mammalia; Artiodactyla; Bovidae.